AUUGAACGCUGGCGGCAGGCCUAACACAUGCAAGUCGAACGGUAACAGGAAGACGCUUGCUUCUUUGCUGACGAGUGGCGGACGGGUGAGUAAUGUCUGGGAAACUGCCUGAUGGAGGGGGAUAACUACUGGAAACGGUAGCUAAUACCGCAUAACGUCGCAAGACCAAAGAGGGGGACCUUCGGGCCUCUUGCCAUCGGAUGUGCCCAGAUGGGAGUAGCUAGUAGGUGGGGUAACGGCUCCCCUCGGCGACGAUCCCUAGCUGGUGUGAGAGGAUGACCAGCCACACUGGAACUGAGACACGGUCCAGACUCCUACGGGAGGCAGCAGUGGGGAAUAGUGCACAAGGGGCGCAAGCCGGAUGCAGCCAUGCCGCGUGUAGGAAGAAGGCCUUCGGGUUGUAAAGUACUUUCAGCGGGGAGGAAGGGAGUAAAGUUAAUACCUUUGCUCAUUGACGUUACCCGCAGAAGAAGCACCGGCUAACUCCGUG
This 490-nucleotide ribosomal RNA is filed under the name uncultured bacterium. Its description in RNAcentral is "partial 16S ribosomal RNA". It matches the Rfam family "Bacterial small subunit ribosomal RNA", at positions 30 to 507 of the family's 1533-position model. The record is from RNAcentral.